This 428-nucleotide ribosomal RNA is filed under the name uncultured bacterium. RNAcentral's name for it is "partial 16S ribosomal RNA". It matches the Rfam family "Bacterial small subunit ribosomal RNA", at positions 354 to 796 of the family's 1533-position model. The record is from RNAcentral.
GUUAGGAAUAUUGGGCAAUGGAGGAAACUCUGACCCAGCAACGCCGCGUGAAGGAUGAAGGUUUUCGGAUUGUAAACUUCUGUUCUAUGGGAAAAAACAAAUGAUGGUACCAUAGGAGAAAGCCACGGCUAACUACGUGCCAGCAGCCGCGGUAAUACGUAGGUGGCAAGCGUUGUUCGGAAUGACUGGGCGUAAAGGGAGCGUAGGUUGUUUUUUAAGUUAAAUGUGAAAGCCCGGGGCUUAACUCCGGAAUGCCAUUUAAUACUGGAAGACUAGAGUGCAGGAGGGGUGAGCGGAAUUCCUAGUGUAGCGGUGGAAUGCGUAGAUAUUAGGAAGAACACCAGAGGCGAAGGCGGCUCACUGGACUGUUACUGACACUGAGGCUCGAAAGCGUGGGGAGCAAACAGGAUUAGAAACCCCUGUAGUCC